GAUGAACGCUGGCGGCGUGCCUAAUACAUGCAAGUCGAGCGAACGGACGAUAAGCUUGCUUUUCUGAUGUUAGCGGCGGACGGGUGAGUAACACGUGGAUAACCUACCUAUAAGACUGGGAUAACUUCGGGAAACCGAAGCUAAUACCGGAUAAUAUUUUGAACCGCAUGGUUCAAAAGUGAAAGACGGUCUUGCUGUCACUUAUAGAUGGAUCCGCGCUGCAUUAGCUAGUUGGUAAGGUAACGGCUUACCAAGGCAACGAUGCAUAGCCGACCUGAGAGGAUGAUCGGCCACACUGGAACUGAGACACGGUCCAGACUCCUACGGGAGGCAGCAGUAGGGAAUAUUCCGCAAUGGGCGAAAGCCUGACGGAGCAACGCCGCGUGAGUGAUGAAGGUCUUCGGAUCGUAAAACUCUGUUAUUAGGGAAGAACAUAUGUGUAAGUAACUGUGAACAUCUUGACGGUACCUAAUCAGAAAGCCACGGCUAACUACGUG
This 497-nucleotide ribosomal RNA is filed under the name uncultured bacterium. RNAcentral's name for it is "partial 16S ribosomal RNA". It matches the Rfam family "Bacterial small subunit ribosomal RNA", at positions 28 to 507 of the family's 1533-position model. The record is from RNAcentral.